RNAcentral lists this ribosomal RNA (464 nucleotides) under uncultured bacterium. RNAcentral's name for it is "partial 16S ribosomal RNA". It matches the Rfam family "Bacterial small subunit ribosomal RNA", at positions 339 to 795 of the family's 1533-position model. The record is from RNAcentral.
CUACGGGAUGCAGCAGUGGGGAAUAUUGCACAAUGGGCGCAAGCCUGAUGCAGCCAUGCCGCGUGUAUGAAGAAGGCCUUCGGGUUGUAAAGUACUUUCAGCGGGGAGGAAGGGAGUAAAGUUAAUACCUUUGCUCAUUGACGUUACCCGCAGAAGAAGCACCGGCUAACUCCGUGCCAGCAGCCGCGGUAAUACGGAGGGUGCAAGCGUUAAUCGGAAUUACUGGGCGUAAAGCGCACACAGGCGGUUUGUUAAGUCAGAUGUGAAAUCCCCGGGCUCAACCUGGGAACUGCAUCUGAUACUGGCAAGCUUGAGCCUCGUAGAGGGGGGUAGAAUUCCAGGUGUAGCGGUGAAAUGCGUAGAGAUCUGGAGGAAUACCGGUGGCGAAGGCGGCCCCCUGGACGAAGACUGACGCUCAGGUGCGAAAGCGUGGGGAGCAAACAGGAUUAGAUACCCCAGUAGUC